GAUGAAGAACGUAGCGAAAUGCGAUAAGUAAUGUGAAUUGCAGAAUUUAGUGAAUCAUCGAAUCUUUGAACGCAUAUUGCGCCCGCCAGCACUCUGGCGGGCAUGCCUGUUCGAGCGUCAUUUCAACCCUCAGGCCUCGUGUCUGGCGUUGGGGCGCUGCGGCCCUCCCGCAGGCCCCUAAAUUUAGCGGCGGACCCGUCUGGCCCUGAGCGCAGUAGUUACUUUACUCAAACGCUCCGGCGGCCGUGGCGCGGUUAUUCCUUCCGCCCAUAGCGCCAAUAGCACCACCCCAAUAAGUUGACCUCGGAUCAGGUAGGACUACCCGCUGAACUUAAGCAUAUCAAUAAGCGGAGGA
This 355-nucleotide unclassified non-coding RNA is filed under the name soil metagenome. RNAcentral describes it as "partial contains 5.8S ribosomal RNA, internal transcribed spacer 2, and large subunit ribosomal RNA". The stretch from base 1 to 120 matches the Rfam family "5.8S ribosomal RNA", at positions 35 to 154 of the family's 154-position model. The record is from RNAcentral.